UACGAAGGGUGCUAGCGUUGUUCGGAAUUACUGGGCGUAAAGAGCGCGUAGGCGGUUAUACAAGUCAGGGGUGAAAUCCCGGAGCUUAACUCCGGAACUGCCUUUGAAACUGUAUAGCUGGAGUAUGUGAGGGGAUAGCGGAAUUCCUAAUGUAGAGGUGAAAUUCGUAGAUAUUAGGAGGAACACCGGUGGCGAAGGCGGCUAUCUGGCACAUAACUGACGCUGAGGCGCGAAAGCGUGGGGAUCAAACAGG
RNAcentral lists this ribosomal RNA (253 nucleotides) under uncultured bacterium. Its description in RNAcentral is "partial 16S ribosomal RNA". It matches the Rfam family "Bacterial small subunit ribosomal RNA", at positions 524 to 776 of the family's 1533-position model. The record is from RNAcentral.